RNAcentral lists this ribosomal RNA (1552 nucleotides) under Klebsiella pneumoniae. Its description in RNAcentral is "bacterial SSU rRNA". It matches the Rfam family "Bacterial small subunit ribosomal RNA". Lineage: Bacteria; Pseudomonadati; Pseudomonadota; Gammaproteobacteria; Enterobacterales; Enterobacteriaceae. The record is from RNAcentral.
AAAUUGAAGAGUUUGAUCAUGGCUCAGAUUGAACGCUGGCGGCAGGCCUAACACAUGCAAGUCGAGCGGUAGCACAGAGAGCUUGCUCUCGGGUGACGAGCGGCGGACGGGUGAGUAAUGUCUGGGAAACUGCCUGAUGGAGGGGGAUAACUACUGGAAACGGUAGCUAAUACCGCAUAAUGUCGCAAGACCAAAGUGGGGGACCUUCGGGCCUCAUGCCAUCAGAUGUGCCCAGAUGGGAUUAGCUAGUAGGUGGGGUAACGGCUCACCUAGGCGACGAUCCCUAGCUGGUCUGAGAGGAUGACCAGCCACACUGGAACUGAGACACGGUCCAGACUCCUACGGGAGGCAGCAGUGGGGAAUAUUGCACAAUGGGCGCAAGCCUGAUGCAGCCAUGCCGCGUGUGUGAAGAAGGCCUUCGGGUUGUAAAGCACUUUCAGCGGGGAGGAAGGCGAUAAGGUUAAUAACCUUGUCGAUUGACGUUACCCGCAGAAGAAGCACCGGCUAACUCCGUGCCAGCAGCCGCGGUAAUACGGAGGGUGCAAGCGUUAAUCGGAAUUACUGGGCGUAAAGCGCACGCAGGCGGUCUGUCAAGUCGGAUGUGAAAUCCCCGGGCUCAACCUGGGAACUGCAUUCGAAACUGGCAGGCUAGAGUCUUGUAGAGGGGGGGUAGAAUUCCAGGUGUAGCGGUGAAAUGCGUAGAGAUCUGGAGGAAUACCGGUGGCGAAGGCGGCCCCCUGGACAAAGACUGACGCUCAGGUGCGAAAGCGUGGGGAGCAAACAGGAUUAGAUACCCUGGUAGUCCACGCCGUAAACGAUGUCGAUUUGGAGGUUGUGCCCUUGAGGCGUGGCUUCCGGAGCUAACGCGUUAAAUCGACCGCCUGGGGAGUACGGCCGCAAGGUUAAAACUCAAAUGAAUUGACGGGGGCCCGCACAAGCGGUGGAGCAUGUGGUUUAAUUCGAUGCAACGCGAAGAACCUUACCUGGUCUUGACAUCCACAGAACUUUCCAGAGAUGGAUUGGUGCCUUCGGGAACUGUGAGACAGGUGCUGCAUGGCUGUCGUCAGCUCGUGUUGUGAAAUGUUGGGUUAAGUCCCGCAACGAGCGCAACCCUUAUCCUUUGUUGCCAGCGGUCCGGCCGGGAACUCAAAGGAGACUGCCAGUGAUAAACUGGAGGAAGGUGGGGAUGACGUCAAGUCAUCAUGGCCCCUUACGACCAGGGCUACACACGUGCUACAAUGGCAUAUACAAAGAGAAGCGACCUCGCGAGAGCAAGCGGACCUCAUAAAGUAUGUCGUAGUCCGGAUUGGAGUCUGCAACUCGACUCCAUGAAGUCGGAAUCGCUAGUAAUCGUAGAUCAGAAUGCUACGGUGAAUACGUUCCCGGGCCUUGUACACACCGCCCGUCACACCAUGGGAGUGGGUUGCAAAAGAAGUAGGUAGCUUAACCUUCGGGAGGGCGCUUACCACUUUGUGAUUCAUGACUGGGGUGAAGUCGUAACAAGGUAACCGUAGGGGAACCUGCGGUUGGAUCACCUCCUUACCUUAAAGAA